CACAGUUGGUGAACCUUGGGCCGUCUGCCUCAAGUCCCCGCUUGGCAAAACCACUCCCUCCUGGUGGACGCCCUCACCAUGAAGAGUUAUAGUAAGGUGUUGGUGAGGCUGGCUGCUCUGGUUGCUAAGAGAGACCCGGCCUGCCACACUCCUAAGAGACACAGAAGACCAGCCUACCCCUGCCUUGCCUCCCGUGACACUGCCCUGCAGGUGGCUGGCCAAGAGAAGCCUGCCCGGCGACGCUGAGGCACCGAACAUGAGCAGGGGAGGAAGGAAUGCCUGGGAGCAGCUGAGCCGAGCCCCUGCCACCAGCCUCCUCCGCACGCCCGUGGAAUCAGCACUUUCUGCUUCCCGCCCCUGAGAGCCUUGCUCUGGGGCCACUCACGGCCAAUUAAGUGGGGAUGUUGUAAGAGACUCUAAAAUACGUGGAGCUGGCUGAGGACACGGGACCGACCCCAUUAUGUGUGUGUGAGGCUGAUUAAAGUGUUACCUGUCACCAGGUGUCGCCAA
This 510-nucleotide non-coding RNA is filed under the name Pan troglodytes (chimpanzee). Lineage: Eukaryota; Metazoa; Chordata; Mammalia; Primates; Hominidae. The record is from RNAcentral.